This 495-nucleotide ribosomal RNA is filed under the name Hyposerica sp. DA4292. RNAcentral describes it as "partial 16S large subunit ribosomal RNA". It matches the Rfam family "Bacterial large subunit ribosomal RNA", at positions 1844 to 2600 of the family's 2925-position model. The record is from RNAcentral. Lineage: Eukaryota; Metazoa; Arthropoda; Insecta; Coleoptera; Scarabaeidae.
UUUAAGGUCUAAUCUGCCCUAUGAGGAGUUAAAUGGCCGCGGUACUCUGACCGUGCAAAGGUAGCAUAAUAAUUAGUUUUUUAAUUGAAAGCUGGAAUGAAUGAUUGGACGAGAAAAUAACUGUCUCAAUUUAAUUUAAUUAGAAUUUUAUUUUUAAGUAAGAAAGCUUAAAUAUUUUUAAAAGACGAGAAGACCCUAUAGAGUUUUAUAUUUAUAUAAUUAUGAAUUUCUUAGAAUUGUCUUGUUUGUAUUUAUAUGAUUAUUUUAUUGGGGCGAUAGAAAAAUAGGAUAAACUUUUUUUUAUUUAUUACAUUUAUAUAUGAAAUUAUGAUCCAUUAUUUUUGAUUAUAAGAUUAAAUUACCUUAGGGAUAACAGCGUAAUUUUUUUUUAGAGUUCUUAUCGAAAAAAGAGAUUGCGACCUCGAUGUUGGAUUAAAAUAAACAUUUGGUGUAGGGGCUAAAUAGUUAGGUCUGUUCGACCUUUAAAAUUUUACA